This 1637-nucleotide long non-coding RNA is filed under the name Homo sapiens (human). Its description in RNAcentral is "non-protein coding lnc-VWA8-10:1". The record is from RNAcentral. Lineage: Eukaryota; Metazoa; Chordata; Mammalia; Primates; Hominidae.
GGCGGACGUCUUGCGCGCUUCCUGGUCCGUUGCCUUGGAAACGGCUUAACCCUUCCCUCUGGCAAGUCCCCAGGCCUUGGCUUGCUCCGCAGAUUUGGUUUCAGGCUCUGCCUCUUUUCCCUCGACCCCUUAGUCUUAACAGCCUGGGGCCAGCUGGGCUCCUUCUUCGCCACAAGGCUAGUUUUGCUUUCUUCCGAAGCCCGGGGCCCUUCCCAAAGUGGCAGCCCCACCAGAUCCGAAGGCCCAAGGAAGGCUCAUCCUUUCUGAUGGCUCCGCCCCUUCUCCCAGCAUCUCCGGGGAGGACCACUCACAGCGCACCGGGCAACCAGCCCUAUCCCAGCCAAGAAGUAGCUUCCAGGGUUCUCAGGGCCCUAGUGCUCACCCUGAUGUCUUUACGUGGUAUGGAAAUCGGAAAGUAAAGCUUUGGUCACUGGGAAGCCUAGCCAGAGAUGAAAAGCUGUUAUGGUGAUUAUUUUCACCUAAAAUCGGAAGGGCCAGUCCAGUCAAAUUGCCCUGUCUCCUAAAGGGCAUCUGUUCCUCAAGAGUGGAAACACCUGGCAAUAAGAAAGACAUUUUUGAGUGUAUCCUCGUUAUGAGUUAAGUUUUGCCCUGUUCAGAGGAGAGGGUCACGGAAGAAAGGGUGCAUUCGUUUGUUCAUUUCUUCAUUCAACAAACACUACUCUAGGCUGUUGAUUGAACAAUGAUGAAGACAAGUAGUGUAGAUUCUAGGGAACUUAUCUGAGGGUGAAAAGAAAAAAAAUCUGUUGGUUUUAAGCUGUAUGCAAAGAAGUUACAAUAAGUGACGUGAUGGUGAUGGUGACUGAGUGGCUAGUAAAGGGGAUGCCCUUUUAAGGAGGAGAUAUUUUAGCAGCGAUUUGAAUAACAGACGCAAAAAUCAGAGCAUAGAGCAUUCCAGGAAAAGGAUAACACUAAUUCAAAGGCCCUAAGUAAGGAUCUAUUCUAGUGCAUUUGAGGGAAGAAGAAAUGAGAAAGUAAACUUUCUUGAGCCUGGAGAUGGAAACUGUAAGAGUUAAAGAAAGAAACACAAAAAGCAGCUUAACAGAGACAGGUUUAUUUUGGAGAAUAAACCUGAGAGGGGCUUCUGGCCGAUUUCGGUCAGGAGUGUUCUCUCUUACAGACUAAAGGUAUUUAGUGGUUUAGGGAGGGAGAGCAUAUUGUAGACUUGGAAUGUUUCUGGGUGGAGGAGAGUUUUAUUGUCAGGGGUGUAAUGUCUCUGGUUGGAGGGGAGGCAUAUUUCUGAUCAGAGUGGGGUUUAUCUCAGGGUUGGAAAGUUUCUGGUCAGAAGUGUUAUUUGUGGUUUAUGGUCAUGCUGACAUUAGCCAUUAGGCUGAUGUUUCUGGGGCUGGAUUUAGGCGGUUUUUAAUCAAGGGGAACUUAAAAUGGCGGUGCUUGUCCAAGAUGGUGAUGCUCUUGCUCUGUCAGAAACUAGCAUGGGCCAGAUCCUGUAAGGCUUUGUUAGCCAAGAAAGGAAUUGAAAGUUUAUUCUAAACGCAAUAUAAGGUAUUACAGAGUUUUUAAUAGGGGAGAGACACCCAGAGUUUACUUUUUUUUAAAAAAAAAAAGUCUCGUCUUUGAAAAGAAUGGGUCUUAAAGAGGCCAAAGCAGAAGUAAGGGAG